GGGGGUGUAGCUAAGUGGUAGAGUAUGUGCUUAGCAUACAUGAGAUCCUGGGUUCGAUCCCCAGUACCAACG
This 72-nucleotide transfer RNA is filed under the name Camelus bactrianus (Bactrian camel). It matches the Rfam family "tRNA". From Rfam's summary of the family: Transfer RNA (tRNA) molecules are approximately 80 nucleotides in length. Their secondary structure includes four short double-helical elements and three loops (D, anti-codon, and T loops). RNAcentral also lists the same sequence under 1 other name. Lineage: Eukaryota; Metazoa; Chordata; Mammalia; Artiodactyla; Camelidae. The record is from Rfam by way of RNAcentral.